UGAGGAAUAUUGGGCAAUGCCCGCAAGGGUGACCCAGCAACGCCGCGUGGAGGAUGAAUGUCGUAAGAUUGUAAACUCCUGUUAGAGGGGAAGAAUAGUACCGGUUGGACCGGUAUAUGACUGUACCCUCAGAGAAAGCCCCGGCUAACUACGUGCCAGCAGCCGCGGUAAUACGUAGGGGGCAAGCGUUGUCCGGAUUUACUGGGUGUAAAGGGCGCGCAGGCGGGAUAAAAAGUCAGUGGUGAAAUCCUACAGCUUAACUGUAGAACUGCCUUUGAUACUUUUAUUCUUGAGUUCGGGAGAGAGAGACGGAAUUCCAGGUGUAGUAGUGAAAUACGUAGAUAUCUGGAAGAACACCAGUUGCGAAGGCGGUCUCUUGGUCCGACACUGACGCUGAGGCGCGAAAGCGUGGGGAGCAAACA
RNAcentral lists this ribosomal RNA (422 nucleotides) under uncultured bacterium. RNAcentral describes it as "bacterial SSU rRNA". It matches the Rfam family "Bacterial small subunit ribosomal RNA", at positions 355 to 774 of the family's 1533-position model. The record is from RNAcentral.